ACCCGCACAAGCGGUGGAUGAUGUGGUUUAAUUCGAUGCAACGCGAAAAACCUUACCUACCUUUGACAUGUACGGAAUUCGCCAGAGAUGGCUUAGUGCUCGAAAGAGAACCGUAACACAGGUGCUGCAUGGCUGUCGUCAGCUCGUGUCGUGAGAUGUUGGGUUAAGUCCCGCAACGAGCGCAACCCUUGUCAUUAGUUGCUACAUUUAGUUGGGCACUCUAAUGAGACUGCCGGUGACAAACCGGAGGAAGGUGGGGAUGACGUCAAGUCCUCAUGGCCCUUAUAGGUAGGGCUACACACGUCAUACAAUGGAUGGUACAAAGGGUCGCCAACCCGCGAGGGGGAGCCAAUCCCAUAAAACCAUUCGUAGUCCGGAUCGCAGUCUGCAACUCGACUGCGUGAAGUCGGAAUCGCUAGUAAUCGUGGAUCAGAAUGUCACGGUGAAUACGUUCCCGGGUCUU
Molecule: ribosomal RNA, 463 nt
Filed under: uncultured Polaromonas sp.
Lineage: Bacteria; Pseudomonadati; Pseudomonadota; Betaproteobacteria; Burkholderiales; Comamonadaceae
Description: bacterial SSU rRNA
Rfam family: Bacterial small subunit ribosomal RNA
Source: RNAcentral